GAUGAACGCUGGCGGCGUGCCUAAUACAUGCAAGUCGAACGAAACUUCUUUAUCACCGAGUGCUUGCACUCACCGAUAAAGAGUUGAGUGGCGAACGGGUGAGUAACACGUGGGCAACCUGCCCAAAAGAGGGGGAUAACACUUGGAAACAGGUGCUAAUACCGCAUAACCAUAGUUACCGCAUGGUAACUAUGUAAAAGGUGGCUAUACUACCGCUUUUGGAUGGGCCCGCGGCGCAUUAGCUAGUUGGUAGGGUAGAGGCUUACCAAGGCAAUGAUGCGUAGCCGAAUUGAGAGGUUGAUCGGCCACAUUGGGACUGAGACACGGCCCAAACUCCUACGGGAGGCAGCAGUAGGGAAUCUUCCACAAUGGGCGAAAGCCUGAUGGAGCAACGCCGCGUGGGUGAAGAAGGUCUUCGGAUCGUAAAACCCUGUUGUUAGAGAAGAAAGUGCGUGAGAGUAACUGUUCACGUUUCGACGGUAUCUAACCGGAAAGCCACGGCUAACUACGUG
Molecule: ribosomal RNA, 512 nt
Filed under: uncultured bacterium
Lineage: Bacteria
Description: partial 16S ribosomal RNA
Rfam family: Bacterial small subunit ribosomal RNA
Source: RNAcentral